Molecule: ribosomal RNA, 497 nt
Filed under: uncultured bacterium
Lineage: Bacteria
Description: partial 16S ribosomal RNA
Rfam family: Bacterial small subunit ribosomal RNA
Source: RNAcentral
GAUGAACGCUGGCGGCGUGCCUAAUACAUGCAAGUCGAGCGAACAGACGAGGAGCUUGCUCCUCUGACGUUAGCGGCGGACGGGUGAGUCACACGUGGAUAACCUACCUAUAAGACUGGGAUAACUUCGGGAAACCGGAGCUAAUAACGGAUAAUAUAUUGAACCGCAUGGUUCAAUAGUGAAAGACGGUUUUGCUGUCACUUAUAGAUGGAUCCGCGCCGCAUUAGCUAGUUGGUAAGGUAACGGCUUACCAAGGCAACGAUGCGUAGCCGACCUGAGAGGGUGGUCGGCCACACUGGAACUGAGAAACGCUCCAGACUCCUACGGGAGGCAGCAGUAGGGAAUCUGCCGCAAUGGGCGAAAGCCUUACGGAACAACACCACGUGAGUGAUGAAGGUCUUCGGAUCGUAAAACUCUGUUAUUAGGGAAGAACAAAGGUGUAAGUAACUAUGCACGUCUUGACGGUACCUAAUCAGAAAGCCACGGCUAACUACGUG